GAUGAACGCUGGCGGCGUGCCUAAUACAUGCAAGUCGAGCGAACAGACGAGGAGCUUGCUCCUCUGACGUUAGCGGCGGACGGGUGAGUAACACGUGGAUAACCUACCUAUAAGACUGGGAUAACUUCGGGAAACCGGAGCUACUACCGGAUAAUAUAUUGAACCGCAUGGUUCAAUAGUGAAAGACGGUUUUGCUGUCACUUAUAGAUGGAUCCGCGCCGCAUUAGCUAGUUGGUAAGGUAACGGCUUACCAAGGCGACGAUGCGUAGCCGACCUGAGAGGGUGAUCGGCCACACUGGAACUGAGACACGGUCCAGACUCCUACGGGAGGCAGCAGUAGGGAAUCUUCCGCGAUGGGCGAAAGCCUGACGGAGCAACGCCGCGUGAGUGAUGAAGGUCUUCGGAUCGUAAAACUCUGUUAUUAGGGAAGAACAAAUGUGUAAGUAACUAUGCACGUCUUGACGGUACCUAAUCAGAAAGCCACGGCUAACUACGUG
This 497-nucleotide ribosomal RNA is filed under the name uncultured bacterium. Its description in RNAcentral is "partial 16S ribosomal RNA". It matches the Rfam family "Bacterial small subunit ribosomal RNA", at positions 28 to 507 of the family's 1533-position model. The record is from RNAcentral.